AGACGCAUUUCCCUUUCCCGUGUGUGACCAUCUCAAAAUCUGCAUUUGUGCGUGCGAAGGCGAGGAUGUUCCUGAGGUUCCCGAGGAGACACCGUACCAAGCGUCCUACUCCCGCAUGCGUCUGUCCAUCCACACCCUGUGCACCAGCAAGCCGCUGGACCUCUUCAUGGCCGUCCUGAUCGUCAUCAGUAUUUUGAUCAUGGAGCACUACCAACAACCUCUGAAUGCGCCGAGGACGACCUGUGCCUCGGAUUAAACGAGUACGUCAACUUCGUGGCCUUGUUCACCAUCUUCCUGGUUUGCGUCGUCGCACAGUUCAUGCUUGCCAACCGUCAUUGUGCAAGCUCUGGAGGACAGCAACAAGGACGAAGGAGUGUCUGGACUGUCUGCUGCUCAUCUCGUUGUCCCGGGAACUUCUGACACCUGAUCCAGAUUGAUUGAUGAUUGAUUUUACCCAUUCAUGGUCCUUUUGAAAGCCGUUAAAUUUUAUUGUAAAAGUAUAAUUUAUUGAUUCAACUAAAAUGUUUUAAUAUUUUAAGAAUUGAUAUUUAUACAUUUUUCUACGCAUGUGUAUUCCCGAUGUUCCUUUUGAAAGCAGUUUUUCUAUUCUAAAAGAACGAUUUAUUGAUUUAACUGCUAUUUU
Molecule: non-coding RNA, 643 nt
Organism: Gasterosteus aculeatus aculeatus (three-spined stickleback)
Lineage: Eukaryota; Metazoa; Chordata; Actinopteri; Perciformes; Gasterosteidae
Source: RefSeq, a predicted model, not a curated record